This 396-nucleotide unclassified non-coding RNA is filed under the name fungal sp. Its description in RNAcentral is "partial internal transcribed spacer region". The stretch from base 1 to 46 matches the Rfam family "Eukaryotic small subunit ribosomal RNA", at positions 1786 to 1831 of the family's 1831-position model. Lineage: Eukaryota; Fungi. The record is from RNAcentral.
AAGUCGUAACAAGGUUUCCGUAGGUGAACCUGCGGAAGGAUCAUUAACACGUUAUCCACGUAUCAACCAAUGAGAACCUGUUUUCGCCCUCUCCUCCUGAGAAUGAAUUGGAGCUUGCUUAGAGUUAUUGAAUGGGAUGCUUUGCGUCAGGCUCUACUCGCUACUUACGGGACGUAGAAAUACGUUGCGUAGACAAUUGGAUUUCAGGUUAGGAUCACCUCUCACCGUUCGGGUCUCCAUUCAUUGACUUUUUCGGUGAGAACUCAUAUUAACCCAUUUCACCCCCUUUUUGCUAGUUGACUUUUAUAUGUUGUUCAUUUGCUUCGGCAAGUGUGCACACGUUUAAUUAUUUGAACGUUAAAAAUACAACUCUUAGCAAUGGAUAUCUAGGUUCUC